Molecule: unclassified non-coding RNA, 222 nt
Filed under: Glomus sp.
Lineage: Eukaryota; Fungi; Glomeromycota; Glomeromycetes; Glomerales; Glomeraceae
Description: partial contains 5.8S ribosomal RNA and internal transcribed spacer 2
Rfam family: 5.8S ribosomal RNA (bases 1-72)
Source: RNAcentral
GUGAAUCAUCGAAUUUUUGAACGCAAAUUGCACUCUCCGGUUUUCCGGGAGAGUAUGCCUGUUUGAGGGUCAACCUAAAAAAAUCCACAUUGUUGCUGUUUUAUUGUUACCUUUGUUGGAGAUUGGUUAACUUAAAUUCCGGUUUAAGCCACUUUAAAAUUUUUUUUACCAUUCUAAGAAUGUUUCUAAGAUUUUUUCUGUACGUUUUAGGUAUUCAAUGGC